AUUGAACGCUGGCGGCAUGCCUUACACAUGCAAGUCGAACGGCAGCGGGCCUUCGGGUGCCGGCGAGUGGCGAACGGGUGAGUAACGCAUCGGAACGUGCCAUUGAUGGGGGAUAACGUAGCGAAAGUUACGCUAAUACCGCAUAUUCUGUGAGCAGGAAAGCAGGGGGACCGCAAGGCCUUGCGCUCUUUGAGCGGCCGAUGUCAGAUUAGCUAGUUGGUGAGGUAAAGGCUUACCAAGGCGACGAUACUGUAGCGGGUCUGAGAGGAUGAUCCGCCACACUGGAACUGAGACACGGUCCAGACUCCUACGGGAGGCAGCAGUGGGGAAUUUUGGACAAUGGGCGCAAGCCUGAU
Molecule: ribosomal RNA, 356 nt
Filed under: uncultured bacterium
Lineage: Bacteria
Description: bacterial SSU rRNA
Rfam family: Bacterial small subunit ribosomal RNA
Source: RNAcentral